AUUGAACGCUGGCGGCAGGCCUAACACAUGCAAGUCGAGCGGAUGAAGGGAGCUUGCUCCUGGAUUCAGCGGCGGACGGGUGAGUAAUGCCUAGGAAUCUGCCUGGUAGUGGGGGAUAACGUCCGGAAACGGGCGCUAAUACCGCAUACGUCCUGAGGGAGAAAGUGGGGGAUCUUCGGACCUCACGCUAUCAGAUGAGCCUAGGUCGGAUUAGCUAGUUGGUGGGGUAAAGGUCUACCAAGGCAACGAUCCGUAACUGGUCUGAGAGGAUGAUCAGUCACACUGGAACUGAGACACGGUCCAGACUCCUACGGGAGGCAGCAGUGGGGAAUAUUGGACAAUGGGCGAAAGCCUGAUCCAGCCAUGCCGCGUGUGUGAAGAAGGUCUUCGGAUUGUAAAGCACUUUAAGUUGGGAGGAAGGGCAGUAAGUUAAUACCUUGCUGUUUUGACGUUACCAACAGAAUAAGCACCGGCUAACUUCGUG
Molecule: ribosomal RNA, 484 nt
Filed under: uncultured bacterium
Lineage: Bacteria
Description: partial 16S ribosomal RNA
Rfam family: Bacterial small subunit ribosomal RNA
Source: RNAcentral